UGGGGAAUUUUGGACAAUGGGGGCAACCCUGAUCCAGCCAUGCCGCGUGAGUGAAGAAGGCCUUCGGGUUGUAAAGCUCUUUCGGCCGGAACGAAAUCGCGCGAAUGAAUAGUUCGCGUGGAUGACGGUACCGGAAGAAGAAGCACCGGCUAACUCUGUGCCAGCAGCCGCGGUAAUACAGAGGGUGCGAGCGUUAAUCGGAAUUACUGGGCGUAAAGCGCGCGUAGGCGGCUUUGCAAGUCGGGUGUGAAAUCCCCAGGCUUAACCUGGGAACUGCAUUCGAGACUGCAUUGCUAGAGUAUGGGAGAGGGAAGUGGAAUUUCCGGUGUAGCGGUGAAAUGCGUAGAUAUCGGAAGGAACAUCAGUGGCGAAAGCGACUUCCUGGACCAAUACUGACGCUCAUGUGCGAAAGCGUGGGGAGCAAAC
RNAcentral lists this ribosomal RNA (426 nucleotides) under uncultured bacterium. RNAcentral describes it as "bacterial SSU rRNA". It matches the Rfam family "Bacterial small subunit ribosomal RNA", at positions 355 to 773 of the family's 1533-position model. The record is from RNAcentral.